This is a small nucleolar RNA of Lolium rigidum, 219 nucleotides long. RefSeq annotates it as small nucleolar RNA U3. NCBI's taxonomy places the organism in Eukaryota, Viridiplantae, Streptophyta, Magnoliopsida, Poales, Poaceae. The transcript has a single exon. The record is from RefSeq and is a predicted model, not a curated record.
ACGACCUUACUUGAACAGGAUCUGUUCUAUAGGAUCGUACCGCUGCAUCCUUGACUAAUAAGGAGGCAAGCACUUAAGCCUGGUUGAUGAAGUCUGACCUGUGGGCCAGAGCGUGAUUAAUUGCUCAGAUUACACCGGUUGGUGUUGAUCUAUAGCUGUAGAUGAUCGUUCCUGUUCAGCUCUGCUGACCAGGGUGGCUCACAGGUUGUAUGACAGGUC